RNAcentral lists this transfer RNA (75 nucleotides) under Anaerolineales bacterium. Its description in RNAcentral is "tRNA-His". It matches the Rfam family "tRNA". Rfam says of the family: Transfer RNA (tRNA) molecules are approximately 80 nucleotides in length. Their secondary structure includes four short double-helical elements and three loops (D, anti-codon, and T loops). Further hydrogen bonds mediate the characteristic L-shaped molecular structure. tRNAs have two regions of fundamental functional importance: the anti-codon, which is responsible for specific mRNA codon recognition, and the 3' end, to which the tRNAs corresponding amino acid is attached (by aminoacyl-tRNA synthetases). tRNAs cope with the degeneracy of the genetic code in two manners: having more than one tRNA (with a specific anti-codon) for a particular amino acid; and 'wobble' base-pairing, i.e. permitting non-standard base-pairing at the 3rd anti-codon position. The record is from RNAcentral. Lineage: Bacteria; Bacillati; Chloroflexota; Anaerolineae; Anaerolineales.
GCGGAUGUAGCUCAAUGGCAGAGCAUCACACUGUGGCUGUGAGGGUUGUGGGUUCGAAACCCAUCAUCCGCCCCA